This 470-nucleotide ribosomal RNA is filed under the name uncultured Prochlorococcus sp. RNAcentral's name for it is "bacterial SSU rRNA". It matches the Rfam family "Bacterial small subunit ribosomal RNA", at positions 397 to 881 of the family's 1533-position model. The record is from RNAcentral. Lineage: Bacteria; Bacillati; Cyanobacteriota; Cyanophyceae; Synechococcales; Prochlorococcaceae.
CCGCGUGAGGGACGAAGGCCUCUGGGCUGUAAACCUCUUUUCUCAAGGAAAAAGAUAUGACGGUACUUGAGGAAUAAGCCACGGCUAAUUCCGUGCCAGCAGCCGCGGUAAUACGGGAGUGGCAAGCGUUAUCCGGAAUUAUUGGGCGUAAAGCGUCCGCAGGCGGCUUUUCAAGUCUGCUGUUAAAACGUGGAGCUCAACUCCAUCAUGGCAGUGGAAACUGAAAGGCUUGAGUAUGGUAGGGGCAGAGGGAAUUCCCGGUGUAGCGGUGAAAUGCGUAUAUAUCGGGAAGAACACCAGUGGCGAAGGCGCUCUGCUGGGCCAUUACUGACGCUCAUGGACGAAAGCCAGGGGAGCGAAAGGGAUUACAUACCCCUGUAGUCCUGGCCGUAAACAAUGAACACUAGGUGUCGGGGGAAUCGACCCCCUCGGUGUCGUAACUAACGCGUUAAGUGUUCCGCCUGGGGAGU